ACAGGAAAGGGCCCUGACAAGAGGAUGGGACUGCAGUUGUGGCUGCCAGGUUGGAGUGCAGUGGCACGAUCUCGGCUCAGUGCAACCUCCGCCUCCUGAGUUCAAGUGAUUCUCCUGCCUCAGCCUCCCUAGUAGCUGGGAUUACAGGACAAGGAGAGGGACAAAUUCCUUCUUGGCAUCCUUAUGGCCCUGUGACCUGCUAAUGAAUGCUGACUCUGAGUUGCUACUAGAAUUUGGUUUCCUUGUGGCUUCCCAGGAAUUGGUCUCACUCUGCUCACUCUGUCUCCCAAGCUGGAGUGCAGUGGUACAGUCACGGCUCACUGCAGCCUCCACUUCCUGGACUCAAGUGAUCUUCUCACUUCAGCCUUCUGAGUAGCUGGGACUACAGGUAGACCCAGUGUAAUCACAAGCAUCCUUGUAAGUGGCAAAGAGGCAGAGGAGACAGCGCCAGAGAGGCAGCUGCAUGAGAAGGAUCAAGAUGUUGCUGACUUUGAAGUUGGAAGAAGAAGGCCAUGAGCCUCAGUAUGUGGGCGGCUUCUAGAAGCUGGAAGGGGCAAGGAGAUGGAUUUGACCCUUCAGCCUCCAGGGGCAGCUGUACCUGCCAUCACUGAUUGUAGCCUGGUGAGGCCUGUUUUAGACUUCUGACCUGUAGAGCUGUAACAUAAUACAUUUGGGUUGUUUUCAACCACUAAGUUUGUGGUAAUUUGUUGUAGCAGCUGUAGAAAAUGAAUACAUAUGAAUCCUCUGGCAUUUGUUUGAGAUUUGCUCUAUGGCCUAGUAUGUGGUUGUAAAUGUUCCAUCUGUGCCUGAAAAAAUGUAUAUUUCUAAUUCAGUAGUCUCUGCUUUUUUUUUUUAUUUUGUACCCCAUCAAUAAAAUGAUUUUCAGCAUGUAUCCCCAAAUAAACAAUAUUUUAUUUAUUGAUUGAUUGAUAAACAGACAUGUUUAAUGAUAGCUUGCUUUUCACAGAGGUGACUUCGGAGACUUCUAAUCUAUAAUCCAGGAGUAUAUAACCAUGCAGCACAGACCAAUUAGUCACAUGUAAAAUAAACUAGAUUCUUACCAC
RNAcentral lists this long non-coding RNA (1064 nucleotides) under Homo sapiens (human). RNAcentral describes it as "non-protein coding CD27-AS1:6". Lineage: Eukaryota; Metazoa; Chordata; Mammalia; Primates; Hominidae. The record is from RNAcentral.